Molecule: ribosomal RNA, 484 nt
Filed under: uncultured bacterium
Lineage: Bacteria
Description: partial 16S ribosomal RNA
Rfam family: Bacterial small subunit ribosomal RNA
Source: RNAcentral
AUUGAACGCUGGCGGCAUGCUUUACACAUGCAAGUCUAACGGCAGCGGGGGCUUCGGCCUGGCGGCGAGUGGCGAACGGGUGAGUAAUGCAUCGGAACGUGCCCAGUAGUGGGGGAUAGCCCGGCGAAAGCCGGAUUAAUACCGCAUACGACCUGAGGGUGAAAGCGGGGGACCGAAAGGCCUCGCGCUAUUGGAGCGGCCGAUGUCGGAUUAGCUAGUUGGUGGGGUAAAGGCUUACCAAGGCGACGAUCCGUAGCUGGUCUGAGAGGACGACCAGCCACACUGGGACUGAGACACGGCCCAGACUCCUACGGGAGGCAGCAGUGGGGAAUUUUGGACAAUGGGGGCAACCCUGAUCCAGCCAUGCCGCGUGCGGGAAGAAGGCCUUCGGGUUGUAAACCGCUUUUGUUCGGGAAGAAAUCCUCUGGGCUAAUACCCCGGGGGGAUGACGGUACCGAAAGAAUAAGCACCGGCUAACUACGUG